This 127-nucleotide small RNA is filed under the name Marmota monax (woodchuck). The record is from RNAcentral. Lineage: Eukaryota; Metazoa; Chordata; Mammalia; Rodentia; Sciuridae.
GCUGGGCAUGAUGGCACAUACCUGUAAUCCCAGAGAGCUGGGAGGCUGAGGCAGGAGGAUCACAAGAUUGAGGCCAACCCAAGAAACUUAGCGAGACCCUAAGUAACUUAGUGGGACCCUAUCUCAA